AUCCAGCUGACGAGUCUCAAAUAAGACGAAACGCGCGUCCUGGAU
This is a non-coding RNA of Schistosoma rodhaini, 45 nucleotides long. Lineage: Eukaryota; Metazoa; Platyhelminthes; Trematoda; Strigeidida; Schistosomatidae. The record is from Rfam.